RNAcentral lists this transfer RNA (60 nucleotides) under human gut metagenome. It matches the Rfam family "tRNA", at positions 8 to 62 of the family's 71-position model. From Rfam's summary of the family: Transfer RNA (tRNA) molecules are approximately 80 nucleotides in length. Their secondary structure includes four short double-helical elements and three loops (D, anti-codon, and T loops). The record is from RNAcentral. RNAcentral also lists the same sequence under 4 other names.
UGUUAGCUCAGUUGGUAGAGCAACUGACUCUUAAUCAGUGGGUCUAGGGUUCGAAUCCCU